This 301-nucleotide ribosomal RNA is filed under the name uncultured bacterium. Its description in RNAcentral is "partial 16S ribosomal RNA". It matches the Rfam family "Bacterial small subunit ribosomal RNA", at positions 509 to 807 of the family's 1533-position model. The record is from RNAcentral.
CAGUAGCCGCGGGAAUACGUAGGUGGCAAGCGUAGUCCGGAAUUAUUGGGCGUAAAGGGCUCGCAGGCGGUUUCUUAAGUCUGAUGUGAAAGCCCCCGGCUCAACUGGGGAGGGUCAUUGGAAACUGGGAAACUUGAGUGCAGAAGAGGAGAGUGGAAUUCCACGUGUAGCGGUGAAAUGCGUAGAGAUGUGGAGGAACACCAGUGGCGAAGGCGACUCUCUGGUCUGUAACUGACGCUGAGGAGCGAAAGCGUGGGGAGCGAACAGGAUUAGAUACCCCAGUAGUCCCUGUCUCUUAUAC